This 3536-nucleotide unclassified non-coding RNA is filed under the name Hevea brasiliensis (rubber tree). Lineage: Eukaryota; Viridiplantae; Streptophyta; Magnoliopsida; Malpighiales; Euphorbiaceae. The record is from RNAcentral.
UCACGACUGUUUAAAUUUUGGCAAUCUAAAUAUAUAACCUUCCCAUAUGGCAUAUACCUUCCCAUAUGCCAAGCCUUUUCCUUGUAUUUACGACUACUUCUAGAGAAAUUAUAUAUUACAUCAAUUUUUCAUAUAUAUAGAAUAAUUUAAUAAAAUGGAAAAUUACAAAUGUCAAGCAGUGUUAUAUAUUGAUAACUAUAAUUAUUUAGGCGCAAUUUGGUAAUGACUUGUUAUUCUAUGAUGGCCUAGUUUUGAAGCCUUUGCCUGUUUAGACUUGAACCAGCAUGCUCUGCCGAGUCAGAAUUAAUGUACCCCUUGUUCUCCACGGGGAUGUUCUUGGACUGUAUGAUUUGGAGCAGCUAGUCCAGGUGCACUGGUGCCAGCAGGACUAUUAAAGCCUCUUUUCCUGGAAGCAAGCGAGAAGUGCUUCUGAAAGAUUGUUAACAAAUCAAGAAUUCUACUCAACAUUGAGAUUCUUGGAUUGAUCAGAACCUGUCUGUUUUCGUAAACAAUCAUGACCAUGUAUAUCAGAAGAGCUAAAACUGAAAUCAUUCCAGCAAUCAAGAACAGGCCUUUGAAACUAUCAAGGCCAAGUCUAUUAGAAACUGGGUCGCUACGAACUGAACAACUGCCGUUGUCAAACCAUUCAUCUUCUAAUUUCUUAAUUUCACCAUUCUCUCUCAGUGCUAAGAUUGCUCUUGAUACAUCAGGUACCAAAGAAGAACCUCGAGAGAAGACAAAGCCAAAGCCGCUGGUCAUAUAUUUUUGAAGAUCCAUAGAUUCAGCCAUGGUAUAUUUGUCACAAUGUUCUGCUAGAAUGAUAUUCAGAUAUGGUGCUUCGUCAAUAGCAACAGCAAUACCUCCAUUUUCAUUUCCUUUUGAAAGAAGUUGGUCGCAUUCUUCGGCUGAUGAAUAUGGCAAGAGUUGAGAUUCAUAAAAGCCCAAGCUCUUUAGAAAUCCACGAACGGAAGAACCACUCUGGUAGCCCACAUGCUGCCUCUUCUGAAUGAGCUCAUUUAGAUCGUAAGCAUUAGAAUUCAGCUGUUGUACUGUAAGGAAGCUAGAUAAGGCAGCGGCAUAACUUUGCGUGAGGACAAGGCCAACAAAACACCAUGUGAUUACCACUAUUCUAGCCAAAUUGCUGAUCACCUUCUCCCGAUGAGCAAAAACCAUGGUUGAAAAGGAAAACCAAAUGCUAGUGCCUAUUUGACGCAAGGGAGGUCCUUGAAAAUCAUCAUUUAUUCUGUGUUCCAGGACCCAGACUACUAAUCCAAUAAAAACGAAAAAACAAAUGCUUGUGAUCCAAACGCCCCAAGUUAAAGGCUUCAAGAAAACCCAAGUUUUGCGAUUCGUGUGGUCUUGGGUCGGCACAAUCAUUGAUAGGCCGCCACUUUCCAAGAAUGGCAUAGUAUAGUCAACAUAGUACGACCUGCUAGCUAAGAUACUUGCGUCUCCCACAACAGCAUCAAUUUUCCCUAGGUAGACUUGGUAGAUCAUAUUGUCGUAACUUUCAGAUGAGAGGAUGAACUCAUAACUUAUAGCAUAUGGCAACAUCUUCAGUACAUUAUUAAAAACCUCUAUGCAGUAUCCUGAGAACAUUGGAAUGUUAGUAUGAGGAUCUUUUUUCACGGUCACCAAUUGAUUGAACCUAUUCCUUACUGGAACUCCUACUCGCAAUGCUCUUCCAUUACUCAUAACCAUACCCUUGGGAAUGAGAGUUGAAUCCCCUGGCCAUAUAAUAGGUGCAAGACCAGAAGUAGAAGUAGGGCUUUCUUUGCCAACUGUAUUAUUGGAGGAAUUUAAUUUUCUGACAAGCCCCUUUCCUGCUGUCCAAAAUCCAACCCCCCUUGAUCCCUCAUCAUUCAUAUUAACUACCUGGAAUAAUGAUGACUGUAACUGUCCAUUGACAAAAAGGAAAUCACCUGUGAGGCCUCUGAAACUAAUAUUUGACAAAGCCUGAACAAGGUUUGGACCAUUUCUAGAGACCCCAAAACUCUCAAGACAUGUUGUCGAAUUGCUAGUAACAUUUGCCAUUUGAAAGCUUAAGCUUGUGGUCCCAGCUGUCUCAACUGCCAUGGCAAGUGCAGUCAUAGCAUCAUAAGCCCAUAGUCCGUUAAUGCUCAAUUCAGCAUCAACCAUGUCAGGAUUAUCACGAUAGAAAUUCUUUUUCCAUUGAACUCGAAAAUUCUCUAUCUCUAUUGUAUUUGGAACAUACGGUUUUACUCCUAAUACCCCUUGCAUUGAAUCCAGAACUGAAGGAUCCGAUGCACUCAACAAAUCAACCAUCCCAUCAGUUAAGAUCCAAACAUAUCCUUCAGUCAACAUUCCAACUUGUUUUACUUUGGUGAAAAAUCGAGACCCCAGAGAGGGAAACAGGUGCACAAUGAAAACUGUGACUUCCAUUGUCAUCAACUUGUAAAGCUCUUCCUCAAUUUGUUCAUCACUAGCCAGUGGAGAAAUGGCACUCCAGUAAGAAACACGGGUACCGAUUGCUUGUAAAGCAUUAGUUAAGUAAGGGAUCAGUCUCUCUCCAAAUACGUUGUCAACAUAGAUAGGCACUGCUUCUUUCCAUCUGAAAGCUUGAAUUAUUGCACUUAUGGCUUGUGCUUGAUUUGCGUCACUUUGUGUAGCUCGGAAAAAGUAUGAACUAUGGACAGAAGCAAUGGAAAAACUAGAUGCAGAAGAAGAUAUAAUGGGCACCCGUGCUUUUUCUCCCAGUUCAAUGAUGAAAUUGGCCUGCAAUGAUGUUGUUGGUCCUAAUAUUGCUUGCACUUGGGUAUUUUUUAUCAAGUCAAGUGCUAUGUUUUGAAAUCAAGACAGGAAAACAAUCACAAAUUGAGUUCCACCAUACUAAUUUAUGAAUGUUUAUGAAAAAGAAUAAAAAGAUCAUUGAAAAUAAACUAUAAUUAAAAUAUUCAGAGGAAUAUCACACAAGAGAGUUGCAUUCAAACAUUUUUCCUUUUUCAAAUAAAAGUUAUUUUUUUCUGCUAAAAGGUAGAAGUUUGUUUCAAGGGAAAGUAAAAAAUUUUUUCUUAUAUAUAUGUUUUCGCAUCGCGCCAAUUAAAUUUAAGAACUCGUUUUUCCAUAUCUAUCUUUAUAUUCUAUAUUAACGUUAAAGUAAAGAAAGGGUGACGAAGGAUACAGACGGGUUGCUGAGUUUUUGGGUUUAUUUUUUUGGGUUUGCGGCUCGUCUGGGAUAAAAGGUUACAGACGGGUUCUUGUUGAAACAGAAAAUUUGUGGGUGGCCUCUUCUUUGACAUGUAGCAACAGCUUUAUUUAGCACAAUUCUUGUUUGGAGCAUAGUAAUUUCUCCAGCAUUAGAGAUCUGUUGAAGAGGGAUUGGGUGGUGAACAUCAAGCAUGUGUUUAGGGAAUGUAAUUUUGACGCUGAUUGGUUGGCCCAUCUUGGUCACUCCUUACAAAUAGGCGUGCAUCGGUUUGAAGUUCCUCCGGCGAGUCUCUGUGUUCUUCUUGUGCAUGAUGCUUGUAGCGUUGCUAAUCCCACGAGCUGUGUGAACAAAUCUGUUCUGUUUGUCU